UCCAGACUCCUACGGGAGGCAGCAGUGAGGAAUAUUGGUCAAUGGCCGAGAGGCUGAACCAGCCAAGUCGCGUGAGGGAGGACGGCCCUACGGGUUGUAAACCUCUUUUGUCGGGGAGCAAGGGACAGGUCGUGACCUGUUGUGAGAGUACCUGAAGAAAAAGCAUCGGCUAACUCCGUGCCAGCAGCCGCGGUAAUACGGAGGAUGCGAGCGUUAUCCGGAUUUAUUGGGUUUAAAGGGUGCGCAGGCGGAGCCACAAGUCGGGGGUAAAUUCGCGGGGCUCAGCCCCGCUCCGCCGUUGAAACUGUGUCCCUUGAGUGCGCGAAGGGUAGGCGGAAUGCGUGGUGUAGCGGUGAAAUGCAUAGAUAUCAGGAGGAACACCGGUGGCGAAGGCGGCCUGCUGGACUGCAACUGACGUUGAGGCCCGAAAGCGUGGGGAGCAAACAGGAUUAGAUACCCGCAUA
RNAcentral lists this ribosomal RNA (464 nucleotides) under uncultured bacterium. RNAcentral describes it as "bacterial SSU rRNA". It matches the Rfam family "Bacterial small subunit ribosomal RNA", at positions 330 to 792 of the family's 1533-position model. The record is from RNAcentral.